GGCCCUAUGGGGCGCAGCAGGCGAGAAAACUGGACAAUGCACGAAAGUGUGAUCCGGUAAUUCCCUGUCCCAAGCGCAAGUUUGGGUUUUGUUGAGUGUGACUAGCUUGGCGAAUAAGGAGAGGGCAAGAACGGUGCCAGCCGCCGCGGUAAAACCGUCUCUUCGAGUGGCCGACGUGUUUAUUGGGCCUAAAGCGUCCGUAGGCGGGCUAAUCCGUCCCACAUUAAAGACGGCAACUCAAUUGUCUGAAGUGUGUGGGAAACUGCUAGCCUUGGCAAUGGGAGAGGUGAGCUGUACGGUAGGAGUAAAGGUGAAAUUUAGUAAUCUCUAUCGGACAACCGAUGGCGAAGGCAGCUCACUGGAACAUGUGCGACGCUGAUGGACGAAAGCCAGGGGAGUGAGUCGGAUUAGAUACCCGAGUAAUCCUGGCUGUAAACGAUGCGGAUUAAGUGUUGGAUGGUCAAGAGACCAUUCAGUGCCGAAGCGAAGGCGUUAAAUCCGCCGCCUGGGAAGUACGAGCGCAAGCUUGAAACUUAAAGGAAUUGGCGGGGGAGCAC
RNAcentral lists this ribosomal RNA (557 nucleotides) under uncultured archaeon. Its description in RNAcentral is "bacterial SSU rRNA". It matches the Rfam family "Archaeal small subunit ribosomal RNA", at positions 319 to 879 of the family's 1478-position model. The record is from RNAcentral.